This 465-nucleotide ribosomal RNA is filed under the name uncultured bacterium. Its description in RNAcentral is "bacterial SSU rRNA". It matches the Rfam family "Bacterial small subunit ribosomal RNA", at positions 338 to 795 of the family's 1533-position model. The record is from RNAcentral.
CCUACGGGGCGCAGCAGUGGGGAAUAUUGCACAAUGGGCGCAAGCCUGAUGCAGCCAUGCCGCGUGUAUGAAGAAGGCCUUCGGGUUGUAAAGCACUUUCAGUAGGGAGGAAGGUAGUGUAGUUAACACCUGCAUUAUUUGACGUUACCUACAGAAGAAGCACCGGCUAACUCCGUGCCAGCAGCCGCGGUAAUACGGAGGGUGCAAGCGUUAAUCGGAAUUACUGGGCGUAAAGCGCACGCAGGCGGUUUGUUAAGUCAGAUGUGAAAUCCCCGGGCUCAACCUGGGAACUGCAUCUGAUACUGGCAAGCUUGAGUCUCGUAGAGGGGGGUAGAAUUCCAGGUGUAGCGGUGAAAUGCGUAGAGAUCUGAAGGAAUACCAGUGGCGAAGGCGGCCCCCUGGACAAAGACUGACGCUCAGAUGCGAAAGCGUGGGGAGCAAACAGGAUUAGAUACCCGGGUAGUC